GAUGAACGCUGGCGGCGUGCCUAAUACAUGCAAGUCGAGCGAACAGAUAAGGAGCUUGCUCCUUUGACGUUAGCGGCGGGCGGGUGAGUAACACGUGGAUAACCUACCUAUAAGACUGGGAUAACUUCGGGAAACCGGAGCUAAUACCGGAUAACAUAUUGAACCGCAUGGUUCAAUAGUGAAAGGCGGCUUUGCUGUCACUUAUAGAUGGAUCCGCGCCGUAUUAGCUAGUUGGUAAGGUAACGGCUUACCAAGGCAACGAUACGUAGCCGACCUGAGAGGGUGAUCGGCCACACUGGAACUGAGACACGGUCCAGACUCCUACGGGAGGCAGCAGUAGGGAAUCUUCCGCAAUGGGCGAAAGCCUGACGGAGCAACGCCGCGUGAGUGAUGAAGGUCUUCGGAUCGUAAAACUCUGUUAUCAGGGAAGAACAAAUGUGUAAGUAACUGUGCACAUCUUGACGGUACCUGAUCAGAAAGCCACGGCUAACUACGUG
Molecule: ribosomal RNA, 497 nt
Filed under: uncultured bacterium
Lineage: Bacteria
Description: partial 16S ribosomal RNA
Rfam family: Bacterial small subunit ribosomal RNA
Source: RNAcentral